Molecule: ribosomal RNA, 652 nt
Filed under: Anoxybacillus flavithermus
Lineage: Bacteria; Bacillati; Bacillota; Bacilli; Caryophanales; Anoxybacillaceae
Description: bacterial SSU rRNA
Rfam family: Bacterial small subunit ribosomal RNA
Source: RNAcentral
GGCGGGCGGCUACUACCCUGUGGUGUAUAGGGAUAUCGAAAGCUUGCUUUUGAUUCGUUAGCGGCGGACGGGUGAGUAACACGUGGGCAACCUGCCCUGUAGACGGGGAUAACACCGAGAAAUCGGUGCUAAUACCGGAUAACACGAAAUGUCGCAUGACGUUUCGUUGAAAGACGGCGCAAGCUGUCGCUACAGGAUGGGCCCGCGGCGCAUUAGCUAGUUGGUGAGGUAACGGCUCACCAAGGCGACGAUGCGUAGCCGACCUGAGAGGGUGAUCGGCCACACUGGGACUGAGACACGGCCCAGACUCCUACGGGAGGCAGCAGUAGGGAAUCUUCCGCAAUGGACGAAAGUCUGACGGAGCAACGCCGCGUGAGCGAAGAAGGCCUUCGGGUCGUAAAGCUCUGUUGUUAGGGAAGAACAAGUAACGCAGUAACUGGCGUUACCGUGACGGUACCUAACGAGAAAGCCACGGCUAACUACGUGCCAGCAGCCGCGGUAAUACGUAGGUGGCAAGCGUUGUCCGGAAUUAUUGGGCGUAAAGCGCGCGCAGGCGGUUCCUUAAGUCUGAUGUGAAAGCCCACGGCUCAACCGUGGAGGGCCAUUGGGAAACUGGGGGACUUGAGUGCAGAAGAGGAUAGCGGAUUCCUGG